CCAAUAUAGUAUUUAUGCAAAAAAACUGUAAUCCCCUAAGUACCAUUACGUUUUUUCUUAUUUUUAAUAGUAUUGACAACAUAUUUCUCAAGUUAUCACACAUAAAGUGAAGAAAAAGAAACUAUAUUACUUAUCUAUUUUUUUCAUAUCUAUUUUCACCUUGACUUAAACCACAUUGUUUCUUUUACCUUCUGUGUUGUUGCCUACAACACUUCAGUUAGAGGACUGGAAAAUAGCAAACAGGGGGAAAAAGGCAUGACUUAUUUUGCAUACAGCUAGCCAAACCUGUUGAAACUGUUGUCAUAGCCAAUGCUUUUUAUUGGAACAGAAAACAGCAAGGGUCCAUAGAAAAAUACAGUUGGAAGUUUUUUUUUCCCCACCAAGGCAGCUCAAGAAGGUUGGACACACAAGUACAGUGGCUCUUUUGGCCCAAGACCAAGCCAACAUCAAAGUUAGUUCACUAACUUUACAUUCUAGUUAUGUUGGCUUGGCAACAAGCCAACAUACUGUUAUGCUAUUUAAACUUAUUUUUAUUAUUAUUAUUCUUCUGAGACAGAAUUCCAAACGUAUCUCCUCCUAGGGCUUUUAAGCCACAAGCCCCAAACUCGGCAGACACCUGCGGGAUAUAGCGGUGCUGGUUGCUAUAUCUUUUUAGACUGAUCAGACUUACAGUUUAUUUAUUAUUUAUUUUUAUAAAUCAGAAAUCUCCCAUAGACUCCCAUUAUCUGAGAAAAAUUGCGCCUCUACAGGAGCAAUUCCCGGGACUGAGGGAGGAGUCUGCCUUAGUUUCACUUUUAAAUCGGUUAAAAAUACAUAUAAAUACAUGAAUUUAUUUCACUCUGACAAGCUAAACCAACAUAUUUGAGUAUUACAGGGGUCAGGGCUUAUUAAAAAUGUAUAUCUGGCCACAGAACAGAGAGAAAGACGAGAGAGAAUUCACCGCUCCGUUCAGCGAGUGGUCUCACAGCUGGCUCACAACAAACGAAUUUAUUCUUGUUUAAGACCUUUUAAAAAUAAAAUAUUACAGCGAUUGCACACAAUCCACCCAUUAGAACAAACCAAGAGCUAAAAGAGGGUGUUUUUGAGCUGUUGAUUUUUGAAAAUGAACGAUUUGCGUCAGCUCUUUUGACAGCGCGAGCCCGCGCGGCUUCUCCUGCACUCGCACUACGAGCUCACAAGAAACGAAUUUAUUCUUGUUUAAGACCUUAUAAAAAUAAAAUAUUACAGCGAUUGCACACAAUGCACCCAUUAGAACAAACCAAGAGCUAAUAGUGGGUGUUUUUCAGCUGUUGAAGUUUGAAAAUGAACGAUUUGCGUCAGCUCUUUUGACAGCGCGAGACGGCGCGGCUUCUCGUGCAAUGACACAACGAGCUCGCAAGAAACAAAUUUAUUCUUGUUUAAGACCUUUUAAAAAUAAAAUAUUACAGCGAGUGCACACAAUCCACCCAUUAGAACAAACCAAGAGCUAAAAGUGGGUGUUUUUUCAGCUGCUGAAGUGUGGAAAAUGAACGAUUUGCAUCAGCUCUUUUGACAGCGCGAGACGGCGCGGCUUCUCGUGCAGUGACACAACGAGCUCGCAAGAAACGAAUUUAUUCUUGUUUAAGACCUUUUAAAAAUAAAAUAUUACAGCGAUUGCACACAAUCCACCCAUUAGAACAAACCAAGAGCUAAAAAGUGGGUGUUUUUUUC
This is a long non-coding RNA of Cyprinus carpio carpio, 1689 nucleotides long. NCBI's taxonomy places the organism in Eukaryota, Metazoa, Chordata, Actinopteri, Cypriniformes, Cyprinidae. The record is from Ensembl.